RNAcentral lists this long non-coding RNA (3154 nucleotides) under Gadus morhua (Atlantic cod). RNAcentral describes it as "lncRNA (ENSGMOG00000033651.1)". Lineage: Eukaryota; Metazoa; Chordata; Actinopteri; Gadiformes; Gadidae. The record is from RNAcentral.
AUGGCAUUGGGAGCGGGCGGGACCAACUUCGGCCACUGUGUGGAUCUGUUUGCGUCGGGCGAUGACAUCGUUAGCGACAGCAGUGACUGUAUAACCCCUGUGCUUCACCUCACGCAGCGGGACGUCCCAGGCUGCAGCCCACGUGACAGGUCUGGCUGCAGUGAUUCUGUCCUCCAGUCCGAACACGUCCUCGUUGAGGGUCCUGCAGAAGACACCCAACCUUCUGGCUGCAAUGCCCCUUCUCCAGCAUCUGGCGACACAGAUUUCCAAAGCCCCACUAUGAGGCUCAAUUACUGGGCACACACAAACCAUUUGUUGCAGGAUUGUAUGCAUGCAUUUUGGAUAAUGUGUGUGUGUGUUUGUGUCCCUCACUCUCACAGGCCUAGAGCUGUGCUGUUCUGUGUGGUCUGAGAAGUCAGGGGCGUUGUCUAGCGACAGAGCGGCGAUCCGCUAUUGCCACGGUGAGGAGAUGAUGGGCUGCCCAUUAACUUGAGUUCCGAAUUUGUAUUUGUUUUCCCAAACUCCGUCACAGACUGAGGACAAACAAGAUAGACUGCGAUCUACGAAUUAUUCUGUCCUUCCACCACAACAUGGGCCGUGGCAUGGAGUGUGUGGACCACAGCGGGCCGGGCGGUAGGGGAUCCACGCGGUUGCCCGGUGCUGGGUGACUGACGGCCUGCAGUGCUGGGCCCACGGCAGCCCUGAGCCUGCGCAGGACACCCAAGUGUGUGGCUCCACAGCACCCUUUGACAGGUGCGGGCCCCGCUCAUGCCAGAGCUCAAAGAUUCUCGGCUUGAACCCGAGUUCUGAAGUCAUCUGGACCCUUAGGCCUCCUCGUUAAAUUACACCGAAACAAUCAAUUUCACCUCCAUUUUUAGUUUUAGUUUUGUAUUCUUUUGCCUGUUUCAGAUUUUGCGGCUACUACUUCAGGCUCAAUGUGACGCCUAGAGGUCAGAACAAGUGCCGUCCGAAGAGAUGAUAUUUGAACUUUGAGUUUGUUAAAAUUGGGAUAUCUCUGACGCUUGUUCCAUAGGAAAUGGAAAUGACUUUGGAAUAACUAUUAUACAAAGGACUAUAGUAUAGUUCUUCUACACCCACAGUUCUAGACUAGGGCUGCUCGAUUAUGGGAAAAAACAUAAUCACGAUUAUUUUGGUCAAUAUUGAAAUCACGAUUAUUCAAACGAUUAUUUUUUAGUUUGAAAACACGUUGUAAUUUCAGCAUGUCUCUCCCGAAUUUUUUGUAAUUGAGAACUUUGAAAUUUCGCCUUAAAAAAAUCACAAAAUGGUCAAAAAGAAAAUGCUCCAAUCUAAAAUGAAAUACAGAUGUGUCCAGCUGUUUUGCCCUUUCUAUAAAACAUUUUAAAAAAAAGUUAAUUUUGUGAUCGUUUGACCCUAAAAUCGAAAUCGUGAUUAAAAUUCGAUUAAUCCUCCAGCCCUAGGGACUUUCCGAAAAAUUAUACAGAUCUUCUCCCUCACAUUUCAUUUCACCCACUACCCCAUAUGUAUGCUGCAGCUCGCGGUCCCUUGCUGAAGUCGUCUUGCCUGACUCGCGUCCGCACCACGGCAACCGGAAACGUUGACUGCCAACCCAUAGACAUAUUAUAGAAUGGACAGCGGAUUCGAAAAUGGCGCCCAUUCAUUCCUAUGAAAACUUAAGGUUAAGAAAUUAACCAAGGUUUUCUGAUAUAUGAGUGAGGUAUCUCACUAUGGGACACGCCCCUCGCACUGUCCCCCAGAAGCAAUUUUACACUACUCCAGUCGUGACUGGCCAACAGACGUGACGUCCUGUCUCCCCACACUGUCUUUUAUGUUUUUUGGACGGAAUGUAACUGGAAAUUUCGUUGCUCUGUAACAUGUGCAAUGACAACAAUAAAUUCUAUUCUAUUCUAUUCUCUAUUCUAUUCUCUCCUACUACAUAAGUCCCGUCAUCAUGUCAUCUCUUCAGUCUAUAGGCAAAACACCUCUUCCUCGCUCCGGGCAAGAGGGUGGUCUGGUGAGAUACCUCACUCAUAUAUCAGAAAACCUUGGUUAAUUUCUUAACCUUAAAGGUCCCAUGACAUGAAAAUCUCCCUUUAUGAGGUUUUCUAACAUAAAUAUGAGUUCCCCUAGCCUGCCUAUGGUCCCCCAAUGGCUAAAACUUGCGUUUGGUGUAAAACGAGCACUAGCUGUUCUGCUUGCCUUUGAAAAAACGGAGGCUCAAGUGCGCUGAUUUGGAAUGUCUGUAUUCAUGACGUCACCAAGAAUCUCAGCUCCUCCCCUUACUCUGCCUGGCCCGCCCAGAGCCGUUGGCCCGCCAAAGAGACUCGACUGUGCGAGCGCCACAUGUGUGUGUGUGUGUGUGUGUGUGUGUGUGUGUGUGUGUGUGUAUGUGUGUGAAUACACACACUGUAACGCAAGUGUUUCUUGUCGGUUCUUUGACGUGUCUUGUAUUUCCACAACGAGACUGUUAUGGGGGUUAUCUGAGCCAUGGUUGAGAAGGAAUUGGGGGAAAGGAACUUUGGCUUUGACUCGCUGAAGUACAUGAACUGCGACAUGCCGCCGGUUGCCGCGAGGCACCAUCGCCCGGCAGCGGGCAGCCGGCAGCAGGCAGCGCCCGGUUCAGUCGACUUCAGGUUGAUGUGAAAGUGGAAGAACCAGAGACGUUGCACAACCCGACAAAGUUGUUUGUGAUUCAUAAUAUCGUCUGGAGGCGCACGCAGCUUUUGGCCGUGAUAAUAUGUAUUAAAUGAUAUAGAUUUCUAUGUAUUAUAUUGUGGUGACCCACAAUUGAUGUGUGAGACAUUCACAAAGGGACUGUACCUUUAAGGUAAACAGUUCCGGUUUACGGCAGUUCCGGUUCACUACCGUAGUGUUUCACGACAGUUCAGAUUCUCUGGAGUUUCGAUUUGAACUCAUGUGUGAGUAACACUCGUUUGUUUGAAGUGGAAAGUAAAGCUGACUCGACCCAUCUCCGUCUCUUGUCUCAUCAUUUACAUAACUCCACAAUUGGUGACCCCCGACGCGAGUUGGAUACGGCUGUAAAAUGUUUCACAUCGACGGUGAUAACAACGCGCCCGCCGCCGCUGGCGGUGCGGCUAUCGACGCGGCUAACGUCGGCGCUAUCUAUGCUGCCACCGUCAAGUUACCGGACUUCUGGCAGAACAACCCACGGUCG